GACGAACGCUGGCGGCGUGCUUAACACAUGCAAGUCGAACGGAAAGGCCCUGCUUGCAGGGUCCUCGAGUGGCGAACGGGUGAGUAACACGUGGGUGAUCUGCCCUUCACUUCGGGAUAAGCCUGGGAAACUGGGUCUAAUACCGGAUAGGAGCCAUUUUUAGUGUGAUGGUUGGAAAGUUUUUUCGGUGUAGGAUGAGCUCGCGGCCUAUCAGCUUGUUGGUGGGGUAAUGGCCUACCAAGGCGGCGACGGGUAGCCGGCCUGAGAGGGUGGACGGCCACAUUGGGACUGAGAUACGGCCCAGACUCCUACGGGAGGCAGCAGUGGGGAAUAUUGCACAAUGGGCGCAAGACUGAUGCAGCGACGCCGCGUGGGGGAUGACGGCCUUCGGGUUGUAAACUCCGUUCGCUAGGGACGAAGCUUUUUGUGACGGUACCUAGAUAAGAAGCACCGGCUAACUACGUG
RNAcentral lists this ribosomal RNA (465 nucleotides) under uncultured bacterium. Its description in RNAcentral is "partial 16S ribosomal RNA". It matches the Rfam family "Bacterial small subunit ribosomal RNA", at positions 28 to 507 of the family's 1533-position model. The record is from RNAcentral.